This 67-nucleotide transfer RNA is filed under the name Testudotaenia sp. WL-2016. RNAcentral describes it as "tRNA-Met". Lineage: Eukaryota; Metazoa; Platyhelminthes; Cestoda; Proteocephalidea; Proteocephalidae. The record is from RNAcentral.
UGGCGGGUAGGUUAUAUUAAACUCCGGGGUUCAUGUCCCCGCAAUAUGUACGUUUACAUCUCGCCUA